Molecule: ribosomal RNA, 640 nt
Filed under: Pseudovibrio sp.
Lineage: Bacteria; Pseudomonadati; Pseudomonadota; Alphaproteobacteria; Hyphomicrobiales; Stappiaceae
Description: bacterial SSU rRNA
Rfam family: Bacterial small subunit ribosomal RNA
Source: RNAcentral
GAUCCUUCGGGAUUAGUGGCAGACGGGUGAGUAACGCGUGGGAAGCUACCUUGUGGUAGGGAACAACAGUUGGAAACGACUGCUAAUACCCUAUGAGCCCUAUGGGGGAAAGAUUUAUCGCCAUGAGAUGUGCCCGCGUUAGAUUAGCUAGUUGGUAAGGUAAUGGCUUACCAAGGCGACGAUCUAUAGCUGGUCUGAGAGGAUGAUCAGCCACACUGGGACUGAGACACGGCCCAGACUCCUACGGGAGGCAGCAGUGGGGAAUAUUGGACAAUGGGGGCAACCCUGAUCCAGCCAUGCCGCGUGUGUGAUGACGGCCUUAGGGUUGUAAAGCACUUUCAGCAGUGAAGAUAAUGACAUUAACUGCAGAAGAAGCCCCGGCUAACUUCGUGCCAGCAGCCGCGGUAAUACGAAGGGGGCUAGCGUUGUUCGGAAUCACUGGGCGUAAAGCGUACGUAGGCGGACUGAUCAGUCAGGGGUGAAAUCCCGGGGCUCAACCCCGGAACUGCCUUUGAUACUGUCAGUCUUGAGAUCGAGAGAGGUGAGUGGAACUCCGAGUGUAGAGGUGAAAUUCGUAGAUAUUCGGAAGAACACCAGUGGCGAAGGCGGCUCACUGGCUCGAUACUGACGCUGAGGUACG